RNAcentral lists this ribosomal RNA (508 nucleotides) under uncultured bacterium. Its description in RNAcentral is "partial 16S ribosomal RNA". It matches the Rfam family "Bacterial small subunit ribosomal RNA", at positions 28 to 523 of the family's 1533-position model. The record is from RNAcentral.
GAUGAACGCUAGCUACAGGCUUAACACAUGCAAGUCGAGGGGAAACGAUAGAGAAAGCUUGCUUUUUCUAGGCGUCGACCGGCGCACGGGUGAGUAACGCGUAUCCAACCUGCCCAUCACUUGGGGAUAACCUUGCGAAAGUAAGACUAAUACCCAAUGACGUCUCUAGAAGACAUCUGAAAGGGAUUAAAGAUUUAUCGGUGAUGGAUGGGGAUGCGUCUGAUUAGCUUGUUGGCGGGGUAACGGCCCACCAAGGCGACGAUCAGUAGGGGUUCUGAGAGGAAGGUCCCCCACAUUGGAACUGAGACACGGUCCAAACUCCUACGGGAGGCAGCAGUGAGGAAUAUUGGUCAAUGGACGAGAGUCUGAACCAGCCAAGUAGCGUGCAGGAUGACGGCCCUAUGGGUUGUAAACUGCUUUUAUAAGGGAAUAAAGUGGGAGUCGUGACUCUUUUUGCAUGUACCUUAUGAAUAAGGACCGGCUAAUUCCGUGCCAGCCGCCGCGGUAA